RNAcentral lists this long non-coding RNA (318 nucleotides) under Elaeis guineensis (African oil palm). Its description in RNAcentral is "long non-coding RNA (EGUI_LNC035131)". Lineage: Eukaryota; Viridiplantae; Streptophyta; Magnoliopsida; Arecales; Arecaceae. The record is from RNAcentral.
AGGAUUUAUUAUUUAGUCGUUAAAACAUGUUCGUGACCUAAUAAUAUGCUAUUAAUAGCAUGAUAGCGAUAUCGAGUAUAGAUCAUUGUGUGCCAUAUGGGUUGGUUGUCCUCUAAAUCAAAGAGUGUGGAGACACUGGUAUGGUAUACAGGUGGAAUGUAGGAGUACAUUCACACUGAAUGUGAUCAAUUGCGGAGCACUCUACUGUCAAGAGUAGCUCGCAAAAGGUAUGGGUAUAAGUAUCCCUCCGACAUGAGAUCACCAUAAUGAGUUAUAAGCAACUCAUUGUACUUUGGUGUCGGACCAUUUGAAUUUCUA